AUUGAACGCUGGCGGUAUGCCUUACACAUGCAAGUCGAACGGUGGAGGAGCAAUCCUUGAGAGUGGCGAACGGGUGAGUAAUACAUCGGAACGUGCCCAGUCGUGGGGGAUAACGUAGCGAAAGCUACGCUAAUACCGCAUACGACCUGAGGGUGAAAGCGGGGGACCUGAGAGGGCCUCGCGCGAUUGGAGCGGCCGAGGGCAGAUUAGGUAGUUGGUGGGGUAAAGGCCUACCAAGCCUGCGAUCUGUAGCUGGUCUGAGAGGACGACCAGCCACACUGGGACUGAGACACGGCCCAGACUCCUACGGGAGGCAGCAGUGGGGAAUUUUGGACAAUGGGCGAAAGCCUGAUCCAGCCAUACCGCGUGUGGGAAGAAGGCCUUCGGGUUGUAAACCACUUUUGUCAGGGAAGAAAUGCUCUGGGCUAAUACCCUGGGGAGAUGACGGUACCUGAAGAAUAAGCACCGGCUAACUACGUGCCAGCAGCCGCCGUAA
This 496-nucleotide ribosomal RNA is filed under the name uncultured bacterium. Its description in RNAcentral is "partial 16S ribosomal RNA". It matches the Rfam family "Bacterial small subunit ribosomal RNA", at positions 29 to 523 of the family's 1533-position model. The record is from RNAcentral.